RNAcentral lists this long non-coding RNA (632 nucleotides) under Solanum tuberosum (potato). RNAcentral describes it as "long non-coding RNA (STUB_LNC007731)". The record is from RNAcentral. Lineage: Eukaryota; Viridiplantae; Streptophyta; Magnoliopsida; Solanales; Solanaceae.
UUGGAAACAACGAAGGAAUAAGAAUCAAGCUAUUUAAUCAAAGUCUGACUGGAAAAGCCUUGGAGUGGUUAUUCAAUCAAAGUCUGACUGGAAAAGCCUUGGAGUGGUACUCAAAGCAAGAUGUGACUAAAUGGCGUACUUGGGAUGAUCUAGCGAAUGCUUUUUGUGGAUCACUAUAAGUUUCAUGUUGAAAUUGCUCCUGAUAGGAUCUCUAUUACCAAGCUAAAACCAAAGUCGACUGAAUGCUUUCGAGAAUAUGCCAUUCGUUGGAGGGAAGAAGCUGCUAGGGUGCACCCACCCAUGGAGGAAUCAGAAAUGAUCACCUACUUCAUUCAAGCUCAAGACUCAGAAUAUUAUGAGCGAAUGGUGACAAUGGGUGGAAAGACAUUUGCUGAAGUUAUUAAGGCUGGAGAAAUGAUUGAAGACGGUCUCAAGACUGGCCGAAUAACGAGUUACACGUCAUCUCAAUUUGCUAACAGGGCCUAUCAAACUGGUUCCUUUGGAAAGAAAAAGGAUAAAGAGGUUAUGAUGUUAACAACUCGAGGAGCUACCUCAUAUAACCGUCAACCACCUCCAGGCUAUCUUGGUUCACAAUACUAUGUUUGCAACAAUCAAGCAACAUUUCGUCCUCC